CUUCAUCUUUUUCCUGAGGUCAACAGGUGCAGGAUGUGAGUGGGCGUUAAGCCGUCUAGGAAAGGAUCUCAAAACUGGAUUAUAGAUGGCAGAUGAUGUCGUAAACCACCGCCUCUGUUCACUGCCACUGUGAACUACCAUCUUUGAACAGAGGAAAUCACAAGAUAGGGUGGGGCUAGGUUUCACAGCGGGUUCACGCGAAACCUUGGCUAAUUGUGACCUACACCCGUUUUCACACCUUGGCACGUGUGAUUAGGUAGAGAAUCAACAGGGGGUUCAUGACCCCCUUGGGGGACACUCCCCUAGAACUUAAAUCUGGGACUCUCCACCAUUUGACCUUAGAACUCAAGAGGCUUCUCAGAUGAGAGGUGAAAUGUCCUCAAUGAACUUAAAGAAGUCCCAAUGCUUUUCUUUCCAACCUCUUUAGACUAACAUGACCUGGAUUGACUGAGAACCUUCACAGACUUAUUUCGCACAAACACCACAUGAGGCCACAACAUGAAGUUGCUAUUGGCAAUGGAAACAGUGCCUAUAUGUAUUUUUGUAGACUUUUGAAUAUGAUGUAUUCUGAUGCUGCCUGUGGUUUCCUGACAGUAAAUAUAACAAGUAUGAAAACUACAUUUACAUAUGACUCAGAUAGGUGUAGUUUUCACAGUCACAGGAUUCAGGUUCUUCAUCAUGGCUGGACAUCUGCUGUUUGUCAUCCUCAUCUAUUUUUUUGAUGAUGUCAAAGCACAAGCCUUUAAUCUGCCAAAAGUGAUUCUGAGUAAAUGCCUGAUCACAGAGACAGACUCAGUCACACUGAGCUGUGAAGCUCCAUCAUCUAUUUCUGUGUCUCAGUGUGAUUUCUACAUUGCAAGUCAAAAAGUGUCUACAGGCUCCUCCUGUGUGCAGACACUAACAGGGACUAUGCUGCUGAGGAUGGCUCGAAAGACUUUACCUGCUGAGGUUGAAGUUAGAUGUGCUUAUGUUGCAAAGCAUGAUGGGUUUUAUUUAACAUCUCUUGACAGUGAACCAUCUACUAUCGCCAUAAAUGCCCUUCUUCCACCUAAACUGAAAGUGAGACCACAGGUGAUCACAGAGACAGACUCAGUCAUACUGGACUGUGAGACUCCACCAUCUGUUUCUAUAUCUGAUUGUUAUUUUCGCACUUCAGGACAACAACUUGCCAAAAAUUUUUCUUGUUUGCAGAAACUGAAUGGAUCUGAAAUGCUAUCACUUGCACAUCAAAGUGCACCUGUUACAUUAAAAGUGACCUGUUUUUACCUUUUUAUAUAUCAGUCUCCAAUGAGUAAUGUGUCUCCACUCACCAUAAGAUCUUUUCUCCAACCUACACUGACAGUAAGUAGAUCAGCUAUCACAGAGAUGGAUUCAGUCACACUGAACUGUGAGGCUCCAUCUUCGGUUUCAGAGUGUUAUUUCUACACUUUGAGUAAAGGAACUGUUAGAAAGUUGUCCUGUCUGACACAGCAGACAGCAACUGAACUUCUGGAGAUGGCCGGUCUCAGACCACCUGCAGAGAUUAAAGUGAGUUGUUCUUACACGCCCCAGACGGGAGGGUCAAACUCUUUGUACAGUGACUAUUCCUCCAUCAUCAUCCAAACUCCCCUUCCACCUAAACUCAUCAUUAAUCCACCAGUGAUCACAGAGACAGACUCAGUCACACUCAACUGUGAGACUCCUUCAUCUGUUUCUGUGCCUGAAUGUUAUUUCUACACUUUGAGUGGAGGGACGGUGAAAGGGUUUUCCUGUCUAACAACACUGACAGCAACCACGCUGCUGGAGAUGGCAAAUCUCAGGACACCUGCUGAAAUUAAAGUGAUCUGUUUUUACAUUGCACAACCUGGAGAGUUAAAGUCUCGGAACAGUAGCAUGUCAACCAUUACAGUACAAAGGGGAAAUCUAAAGGAUGGAAAAAGAACCAUGAAUUUAGUAACCAUCAUUCCUGGGGACAAAAGUGGUAUUCCUUACGUUUUUUAUGACACAACCUGGAGGGUCAGGCUCUCCAUACAGUAA
Molecule: long non-coding RNA, 2016 nt
Organism: Oreochromis niloticus (Nile tilapia)
Lineage: Eukaryota; Metazoa; Chordata; Actinopteri; Cichliformes; Cichlidae
Source: Ensembl